GCCGAGCAGCGACGCCUGUUCUGAUAACUUUGAUGUUGGCCGCUUCCUCCUGUACACCCGGUUGGCACAAGGAGCACUCAAGUGUUUUAUUGAACAGAAACUUUAUCAUAGACUGGAUCUCACUUGGGAAGAGCGGAAGGUUUAAAGUCUCACAAGACUACUGAGUAUGAAUAACAAGAGAUGAACCAGGCUGUAGGAACUUUACCACAUAGAUCUUGCAAAGAGCAGAAGGUUAAAUAGCACCAGGGAACUUCACUUUUAUUGUAGACAUUGUGAAAAGGUGUGUUUGCUCAUAUCCACGUGAUGCCAGUCAUUGUUAGGAGUACUUUUUGAUAAAGGUGUCUCUUCUGGUUGAUCACACCUUUUCUUUCAGUUGGCUAACAAAAAGAGUGUUAUAAACGGUUUGAAAAUAUAUGGUCCUAGCUAUGCAGAACACACAGAAUUUCAUAUUUCACCAUCUCUCCAUUUUCUUUUUCCGGCAACUGUUACUAAUUGGCUGGCGUCUUACACUUCCAAGUUCACAUUGUCUAUCUGUUUGGUCAGGAUUAGAGAUUACUUAUCUUUUAUCAGAGACAAAGUUUUCAUUAUUUAAUAUUUUCUCACUGUUGUAGAUUUUUCUCGCCCAAUCACUUUCAGGCAUGGAUGUCAAUUCUCAGAGUUUCUGUUGAUUUUAUGCAUUGGGGUCGUGUUGCCUGAAAGUACAACAUAUUAUUUUUGGUCUCUCUUUUGCUAGAAAAUUCCAUCUUUUCUAUGUAAAGCUGGUUCGAAAAAGAUAAUUUGACUCCACAUCUUCAUGGGUAUGAAACUUAAAAAAAUGAAAUUCUAUACAUUGCAUGUCAAAGCUUAUGUGCGCAGGGUACUGGGGAUGCACGUCUCAGCACUGAGGUAUCCAUUGAUCUUUUUCGCCCAUCCACCGGUGAAGAAGAUCCAACAACCGUCCAUAUGCAGAGUAAGGAGCCAUUAAGUUCCCGCUCUGGAGUCCGUGCUACAUAGUUACAGUCUUGCAGUACGGAUGAUGUCAUUGAUGUUGCUGGAGCGGCAGCUUUUAAAGGGAGGUUGGGAGCCUAUCCAUGUGAUGUUUUGCGACUGAUAUGUUCAGAGCAGUACACAAAAAUAAAGCUAAUUAAUUAAGAGUUUAAGACUGAUAAUGUAUGAUCUAGGCAUGUAUACGUUCUACCGAUUAACCCUCCAAUAGUGUGAAGCUAACUAAUGUGAAGCAGUCCACACAAACUCAUGUGUGUUGCAAUGUUUUAUUCAGUCUCUGCGCUGCAAAAUAACUUAUUUUCCUCUUUUCCCACACACUUAACCCUUUCUUGUAUUUGUAUCCGUACCAUGUAUCAUAGAAAUUAUGUAACAUGUUAUGCUCUAA
This is a long non-coding RNA of Lolium rigidum, 1369 nucleotides long. RefSeq lists it as uncharacterized. The record is from RefSeq and is a predicted model, not a curated record. The transcript is spliced from 4 exons. Lineage: Eukaryota; Viridiplantae; Streptophyta; Magnoliopsida; Poales; Poaceae.